ACGAACGCUGACGGCGUGCUUAACACAUGCAAGUCAAGGGUAGCAAUACACUGGCGCACGGGUGAGUAACGCGUAGGUAAUCUGCCCCUAUCUCUGGUAUAAUAUCGAGAAAUUGGUACUAAUCCCAGAUGAGGCCGAGAGGUCAAAGAGAAAUUGGAUAGGGAUGAGCCUGCGUCUGAUUAGCUUGUUGGUAAGGUAAUGGCUUACCAAGGCUACGAUCAGUAGCUGGCCUGAGAGGGUGGCCAGCCACACUGGAACUGAGACACGGUCCAGACUCCUACGGGAGGCAGCAGUGAGGAAUUUUGCGCAAUGGGCGAAAGCCUGACGCAGCGACGCCGUGUGCGGGAUGAAGGAGCUUUGCUCUGUAAACCGCUGUCGGGAGAGACUAAAAGUCCGCUUAGUGGACUGGGACAGUAUCUCCAAAGGAAGGACCGGCUAACUACGU
Molecule: ribosomal RNA, 445 nt
Filed under: uncultured bacterium
Lineage: Bacteria
Description: bacterial SSU rRNA
Rfam family: Bacterial small subunit ribosomal RNA
Source: RNAcentral